GCCUCCUUAGCUCAGUGGCAGAGCACUGGUCUCGUAAACCAGGGGUCGUGAGUUCAAACCUCACAGGAGGCA
RNAcentral lists this transfer RNA (72 nucleotides) under Blattella germanica (German cockroach). RNAcentral describes it as "tRNA-Thr (CGT) (tRNA-Thr-CGT-3-1, tRNA-Thr-CGT-3-2)". It matches the Rfam family "tRNA". Rfam says of the family: Transfer RNA (tRNA) molecules are approximately 80 nucleotides in length. Their secondary structure includes four short double-helical elements and three loops (D, anti-codon, and T loops). Lineage: Eukaryota; Metazoa; Arthropoda; Insecta; Blattodea; Blattellidae. RNAcentral also lists the same sequence under 9 other names. The record is from RNAcentral.